CCUACGGGGGGCUGCAGUGGGGAAUAUUGCACAAUGGGGGAAACCCUGAUGCAGCGACGCCGCGUGAGUGAAGAAGUAUCUCGGUACGUUAAGCUCUAUCAGCAGGGAAGAAAAAAAGUCCUUUGGACUUUGGACGGUACCUGACCAAGAAGCCCCGGCUAACUACGUGCCAGCAGCCGCGGUAAUACGUAGGGGGCAAGCGUUAUCCGGAUUUACUGGGUGUAAAGGGAGCGUAGACGGCAGCGCAAGUCUGGAGUGAAAUGCCGGGGCCCAACCCCGGAACUGCUUUGGAAACUGGGCAGCUGGAGUGCAGGAGAGGUAAGCGGAAUUCGUGGUGUAGCGGUGAAAUGCGUAGAUAUUAGGAAGAACACCAGUGGCGAAGGCAGCUUACUGGACUGUAACUGACGUUGAGGCUCGAAGGCGUGGGGAGCGAACAGGAUUAGAUACCCCGGUAGUC
This 457-nucleotide ribosomal RNA is filed under the name uncultured bacterium. RNAcentral's name for it is "partial 16S ribosomal RNA". It matches the Rfam family "Bacterial small subunit ribosomal RNA", at positions 338 to 795 of the family's 1533-position model. The record is from RNAcentral.